This 460-nucleotide ribosomal RNA is filed under the name uncultured bacterium. Its description in RNAcentral is "partial 16S ribosomal RNA". It matches the Rfam family "Bacterial small subunit ribosomal RNA", at positions 338 to 795 of the family's 1533-position model. The record is from RNAcentral.
CCUACGGGUGGCAGCAGUGAGGAAUAUUGGUCAAUGGACGAGAGUCUGAACCAGCCAAGUAGCGUGAAGGAUGACUGCCCUAUGGGUUGUAAACUUCUUUUAUAUGGGAAUAAAACGUUCCACGUGUGGGAUUUUGUAUGUACCAUAUGAAUAAGGAUCGGCUAACUCCGUGCCAGCAGCCGCGGUAAUACGGAGGAUCCGAGCGUUAUCCGGAUUUAUUGGGUUUAAAGGGAGCGUAGGUGGAUGGUUAAGUCAGUUGUGAAAGUGUGCGGCUCAACCGUAAAAUUGCAGUUGAAACUGGCAGUCUUGAGUACAGUAGAGGUGGGCGGAAUGCGUGGUGUAGCGGUGAAAUGCUUAGAUAUCACGAAGAACUCCGAUUGCGAAGGCAGUUCACUGGACUGCAACUGACACUGAGGCUCGAAAGUGUGGGUAUCAAACAGGAUUAGAUACCCUUGUAGUC